Lemur catta (Ring-tailed lemur) is the source of this 398-nucleotide long non-coding RNA. RefSeq lists it as uncharacterized. The transcript is spliced from 3 exons. Lineage: Eukaryota; Metazoa; Chordata; Mammalia; Primates; Lemuridae. The record is from RefSeq and is a predicted model, not a curated record.
GCCGUGGCCCGGGCGGGAGGGCCCCGCCGGCUGGGGCUGCCCGGAACGUGCUCCGCGCAGGGAACUGGCUCCACAGCGGUUACUGGUCCUUUCAUUCAGCAAACACUGACUGCCUGGCAGGAGCCUGGUGCAGGGUACUAGGGAUUCCGAGUUGAACAAGAGCAAGCACAUGGAUCCCUGGAGAAGGUUUCCUGAAGACAUUAGCAUUUGAAUCAGCAGACUAAGAAGAUUGCCCUCCCUUAUGUGGUGGCCUCAUCCAAUCCACUGAAGGCUUGAAUAGAACACUAUGGUAGAGGAAGGGAGAAUGUGAUGGCUUUCUGCCUGAAGACUCAAACUGAACCAGGAUGUAUCUUCUCCUGCCCAAGGCCUUCAAACUACACCACCGGCUUUCCUGGUUC